Cydia amplana is the source of this 132-nucleotide small nucleolar RNA. NCBI's taxonomy places the organism in Eukaryota, Metazoa, Arthropoda, Insecta, Lepidoptera, Tortricidae. The record is from RefSeq and is a predicted model, not a curated record.
UACAGGCCCGUUCGAAGCUGUCAGGCCAAAUGCCUGUCGUCAGUCAAAGCGCGGCCGACAGCAUUCUUUGAUAUAUGGUCGCACGACGCUUAAUCAAUAUGCGAUCGUGCAUUACCCAUAUCAAAUACAUUU